GACAUAGCUAACGAGUUUGUUCACUGGACCCGGCAAAAGACAGGGAGAGCUCUUGAGUGGAUUGGAAGACAGUCACGGUCAAGACAGUGAAUGAGAAGGCGGCACUGUGAUGCCUUAGAUUACUGGGGUGAAGGGACAAAGGUCACAGUGACCUCAGAACCGCCUGUUCCUCCGGUUCUGGUCCCGAUGGUUUGGUUCAGUCCUGCAUCWGGAGAUAAAGUCACCCUGAGCUGCCUGGCUCUUGACUUCUACCCACAGAGUCUCUCUUUUGAGUGGAGCGAUGCGAGUGGAGCGCCGCUGGAUUCUGAACGUUAUCCUGCAGUGGAAGCAAACAACAGAUUUACAGAAGUCAGUUUGGUUCAAAUGUCCAGAUCUGAAGCAAAUCUAAAGUCUUACCAAUGUUCAGUGACUCAUYCUGGUGGCACCAAGACUGUGAAUGCAAAAAGGGCCUCCUGUCCYCCAAAACUGACUUUGCUCUCGGUGACAACUGGAGACGGUCAGACACUAGUGUGCGUCAUUGAGGAUUUUUGUCCUGAAAAUCUGUCAGUCAAAUGGAAAAAGAAUGGCAAUGAGGUGUCUGGACACAAUGAAUGGCCUCCCAAAAAACUCGGAGACUCGUAUUCAGCCGCCAGCGUYCUAAAAUUGAAGAGCUCUGACUGGGAYAGUGMAGCUGUUUACUCAUGUGAAGUGACCCACCUCGGAAAAACUUACACAAAGAAAGCUUCAAAAGCUCCCAUCACAGUGACACUGAACCCUCUGAGUCCUAAAAAACUGUUCAGCAACAACCAGGCAGAGUUGGACUGCGUCGUCUCCGGACAGGACAAUGAAAUUGUGUCAGCGACUGAAAUCACCUGGGAGAUUAAUGGAGAACGUGUGAGCRGCAACAUUAAGGAAGCAACAAUGCAGUACAGCAAACACAGCAUCAUCACUUUUAAUUCCUCCGACUGGAGGACAGUGAGCAAAGUGAGAUGUUCUGCUGUAGCAGAAGACRUGGAACCAGUUAUUCAAGACCUGACUGUCAACAAUGGAGACGGCACAGAGCCAAAAGUAACAGUCCACGUGCUUCCAGARAAGGAUAUUGGCCGAGAAGCAUCGGCUCAGGUCACUCUGGUGUGUUUGGUUUCCAGUGACGUGCUUCAGGACUACUAUAUCGCCUGGACUGAAGAUGUCGAACAAAGUAGCUCAGUGUAUAAUGAYGGCACCGACUUUCCACCAAGAAAGACCAAAAAUGGCUACUCMGUUGUAAGUGUUCACACCACCACCAGGGAGAAGUGGAGCGGAGGCUACGUCUUCUAUUGCAACGUGUGGCCUGCCGGCCGUGGGGAUCGCAUGAAACCCAGCGGAGUGUCUCAGGCCAUGGGUAACGCUGCUGAGUGUGGCGACUCUAUUCAGCUUUAAACGUAACAUUGUUUUGCAAAUGUUUUGUCCUUGUGGAAUUUAUGUCUUUUGUCAGUAUUCACAAGUCAUUUUGUCUGUUUUUUUGUUGUUCUGUUCAGUUUUCAACAAAGAUUUGUCUCUGUCAAACUGUCCAGCUGUCAAAUGUUUUAAAUAAAUAUUGCAUGGAAAUUGUUGCCUGCUUGUGAGUAAAUAACAAUGGAGAAAAUAGAUGACAUUCAGAGUUUUAAAAUAUUGGGAAUGUUAAUAAAAUCAAUAAUUUUUUUUAUUUAUUACAAGUUCAACUAGCUUAGAAAACCUUCAGCCAACCUACCAUCACAGUAUUUUCUUUAUAUUGAUCCAAUGAGAAAGAACUGAGGUUCAAGAUACUUAUGUGCAAGCAAAACCCAUCCAUUCAUUGAUUAAACCUGCUUAUCCUUGCUUGGCCACAGUAUGGCAGGUGCCUCUUGGUCAUGAGGUGAAAGGCCAAGUGGACCCCAGACAGGUCACCACAGGAAAGACCMUGCACACACAGACACCACUUAAACUCACAGCCGUGUUUUUGGACUUUGGGAGGAAGUCAGAGUGUAUGGAGAGAACCAACACAUGCACAGGGUGAACAUGCAGAGUCCAUGCAGAAAGAUCCCAGGAUGARAUUCUAGUCCAGGACCUUCUUGUUGCUAGGCAGCGAUAAUAAACUAUGCAUAUUUUUUGCAUUCAGAAAUAUUUUUUCUAUAUUGCAUGAAUCAGUGCCUUACA
Molecule: non-coding RNA, 2133 nt
Organism: Poecilia reticulata (guppy)
Lineage: Eukaryota; Metazoa; Chordata; Actinopteri; Cyprinodontiformes; Poeciliidae
Source: the annotation of a RefSeq genome assembly